Molecule: ribosomal RNA, 444 nt
Filed under: Bacillus sp. LT61
Lineage: Bacteria; Bacillati; Bacillota; Bacilli; Caryophanales; Bacillaceae
Description: bacterial SSU rRNA
Rfam family: Bacterial small subunit ribosomal RNA
Source: RNAcentral
UGACAGUCGAGCGGACAGAUGGGAGCUUGCUCCCUGAUGUUAGCGGCGGACGGGUGAGUAACACGUGGGUAACCUGCCUGUAAGACUGGGAUAACUCCGGGAAACCGGGGCUAAUACCGGAUGCUUGUUUGAACCGCAUGGUUCAAACAUAAAAGGUGGCUUCGGCUACCACUUACAGAUGGACCCGCGGCGCAUUAGCUAGUUGGUGAGGUAAUGGCUCACCAAGGCAACGAUGCGUAGCCGACCUGAGAGGGUGAUCGGCCACACUGGGACUGAGACACGGCCCAGACUCCUACGGGAGGCAGCAGUAGGGAAUCUUCCGCAAUGGACGAAAGUCUGACGGAGCAACGCCGCGUGAGUGAUGAAGGUUUUCGGAUCGUAAAGCUCUGUUGUUAGGGAAGAACAAGUACCGUUCGAAUAGGGCGGUACCUUGACGGUACCUAA